Molecule: ribosomal RNA, 600 nt
Filed under: uncultured bacterium
Lineage: Bacteria
Also listed under: 1 other name
Description: bacterial SSU rRNA
Rfam family: Bacterial small subunit ribosomal RNA
Source: RNAcentral
UGGCGGCAUGCUUAACACAUGCAAGUCGAACGAGGACUGUGACUUCGGUUGCAGAGCCGAGUGGCGAACGGGUGAGUAACGCGUAGGGAUCUGCCCUAAAGUGGGGGACAACCCGAGGAAACUCGGGCUAAUACCGCAUAAUACCUUCGGGUCAAAGGCAGCUUCGGCUGUCACUUUAGGAUGAACCUGCGUCCGAUUAGCUAGUUGGUAGGGUAAAGGCCUACCCAGGCGACGAUCGGUAGCUGUUCUGAGAGGAAGAUCAGCCACACUGGGACUGAGACACGGCCAGACUCCUACGGGAGGCAGCAGUGGGGAAUAUUGGACAAUGGGGGCAACCCUGAUCCAGCAAUGCCGCGUGUGUGAAGAAGGCCUGAGGGUUGUAAAGCACUUUCAGUAGCGAGGAAAGGUUAGGUGUUAAUAGCACCUAGCUGUGACGUUAACUACAGAAGAAGCACCGGCUAACUCUGUGCCAGCAGCCGCGGUAAUACAGAGGGUGCGAGCGUUAAUCGGAAUUACUGGGCGUAAACGAGCACGUAGGUGGAUUGUCAAGUCAGAUGUGAAAGUCCCGGGCUCAACCUGGGAAUGCCAUUUGACCACUGA